RNAcentral lists this unclassified non-coding RNA (41 nucleotides) under Sorangium cellulosum So ce56. RNAcentral describes it as "sce_HepC_CRE_8". The record is from RNAcentral. Lineage: Bacteria; Pseudomonadati; Myxococcota; Polyangiales; Polyangiaceae.
GGCAGCGUAGCAGAAGAACAGGCGCGGGAGCAGCGGGGCCC